RNAcentral lists this ribosomal RNA (798 nucleotides) under Malus domestica (apple). RNAcentral's name for it is "rRNA MD11G0239500". It matches the Rfam family "Eukaryotic small subunit ribosomal RNA", at positions 50 to 843 of the family's 1831-position model. Lineage: Eukaryota; Viridiplantae; Streptophyta; Magnoliopsida; Rosales; Rosaceae. The record is from RNAcentral.
CAUGCAUGUGUAAGCAUGAAAAAAAUCAAAUAGUGAAACUGCAAAUGACUCAUUAAAUUAGUUAUAGUUUGUUUAAUGGUAUCUGCUAUCCGGAUAACUAUAGUAAUUCUAGAGUUAAUGUAUAUAUAAACCCAAACUUUUGAAAGAGAUGCAUUUAUUAGAUAAAAGGUCAACAUUGGCUCUACCCGUUGAUCUAAUGAUUCAUGAUAACUCGACGGAUCGCACAUCCAUCGUGCUAGCGAUGCAUUACUCAAAUAUUUGCCCUAUCAACUUUUGUGGUAGGAUAGUAGCCUACCAUGGUGGUGAUGGGGGAUGGGGAAUUAGGGUUCGUUUUCGGAGAGAAAGCCUGAGAAAUAGCUAACACAUCUAAGGAACGUAGCAAGCGCGCAAAUUACCUAAUCUUGACACGAGGAGGCAGUGAAACAAAAAUAACAAUAUCGGGCUUUAUAAGUCUGGUAAUUGGAAUGAGUACAAUCUAAAUCUCUUAACGAGGAUCCAUUGAAGAGCAAGUCUAGUGCCAGCAACAACGAUAAUUUCAACUCCAAUAACUAAUAUUUAAGUUGCUGCAGUUAAAAAGCUCGUAGUUGGACCUUGAGUUGGGUCAACUGGUCUGCCUCUUGUGUGCACCUGUCAACUCGUCCCAUAUUUUCAAAUAACUAAUAUUUAGUUGGCCAAGUUAUGCCUCCAAUGUUGUUACUUUGAAGAAAUUAGAGUGAUAAGAAAGAUCCCAUAUUUUUUUUGUUGAAAAGAUGUUUUUAUUCAAAUAGAAACCUAAAAAGCAAAUUUAAAUUGGCUCUA